CGAACGAUGAAGCCCAGCUUGCUGGGUGGAUUAGUGGCGAACGGGUGAGUAACACGUGAGCAACCUGCCCCUGACUCUGGGAUAAGCGCUGGAAACGGCGUCUAAUACUGGAUACGAACAAGAAUCGCAUGGUUACUUGUUGGAAAGAUUUUUUGGUUGGGGAUGGGCUCGCGGCCUAUCAGCUUGUUGGUGAGGUAAUGGCUCACCAAGGCGUCGACGGGUAGCCGGCCUGAGAGGGUGACCGGCCACACUGGGACUGAGACACGGCCCAGACUCCUACGGGAGGCAGCAGUGGGGAAUAUUGCACAAUGGGCGGAAGCCUGAUGCAGCAACGCCGCGUGAGGGAUGACGGCCUUCGGGUUGUAAACCUCUUUUAGCAGGGAAGAAGCGAGAGUGACGGUACCUGCAGAAAAAGCGCCGGCUAACUACGUGCCAGCAGCCGCGGUAAUACGUAGGGCGCAAGCGUUAUCCGGAAUUAUUGGGCGUAAAGAGCUCGUAGGCGGUUUGUCGCGUCUGCUGUGAAAUCCCGAGGCUCAACCUCGGGCCUGCAGUGGGUACGGGCAGACUAGAGUGCGGUAGGGGAGAUUGGAAUUCCUGGUGUAGCGGUGGAAUGCGCAGAUAUCAGGAGGAACACCGAUGGCGAAGGCAGAUCUCUGGGCCGUAACUGACGCUGAGGAGCGAAAGGGUGGGGAGCAAACAGGCUUAGAUACCCUGGUAGUCCACCCCGUAAACGUUGGGAACUAGUUGUGGGGUCCAUUCCACGGAUUCCGUGACGCAGCUAACGCAUUAAGUUCCCCGCCUGGGGAGUACGGCCGCAAGGCUAAAACUCAAAGGAAUUGACGGGGACCCGCACAAGCGGCGGAGCAUGCGGAUUAAUUCGAUGCAACGCGAAGAACCUUACCAAGGCUUGACAUAUACGAGAACGGGCCAGAAAUGGUCAACUCUUUGGACACUCGUAAACAGGUGGUGCAUGGUUGUCGUCAGCUCGUGUCGUGAGAUGUUGGGUUAAGUCCCGCAACGAGCGCAACCCUCGUUCUAUGUUGCCAGCACGUAAUGGUGGGAACUCAUGGGAUACUGCCGGGGUCAACUCGGAGGAAGGUGGGGAUGACGUCAAAUCAUCAUGCCCCUUAUGUCUUGGGCUUCACGCAUGCUACAAUGGCCGGUACAAUGGGCAGCGAUACCGUGAGGUGGAGCGAAUCCCAAAAAGCCGGUCCCAGUUCGGAUUGAGGUCUGCAACUCGACCUCAUGAAGUCGGAGUCGCUAGUAAUCGCAGAUCAGCAACGCUGCGGUGAAUACGUUCCCGGGUCUUGUACACACCGCCCGUCAAGUCAUGAAAGUCGGUAACACCUGAAGCCGGUGGCCUAACCCUU
Molecule: ribosomal RNA, 1370 nt
Filed under: Microbacterium sp. enrichment culture clone NQ-2
Lineage: Bacteria; Bacillati; Actinomycetota; Actinomycetes; Micrococcales; Microbacteriaceae
Description: bacterial SSU rRNA
Rfam family: Bacterial small subunit ribosomal RNA
Source: RNAcentral